This 330-nucleotide long non-coding RNA is filed under the name Macaca mulatta (Rhesus monkey). Its description in RNAcentral is "lncRNA (ENSMMUG00000057060.1)". Lineage: Eukaryota; Metazoa; Chordata; Mammalia; Primates; Cercopithecidae. The record is from RNAcentral.
AUGAAUCUGAAGAAAAAAACUGGCAAUGAGAAUAGAAGAAUCGCAAACAAUGUAGCAGGCCCUUGCCAAGAUUUAAAUACAGAAGAAACAUUCAAAAGGACGGUAUCAAAUUAUCACAAAGAUGAAGAAAAAUCUUCAAGCAAGAAAGUCCAGUCCUGCCUCAGCAUUCUUCAUCUGGACCGCAGACGUGUUAAAAAGCACCUAAUGCGUGCAGGGUAUCAUGUGAGGAUAUGCAGAGUUGAGAGCAGUGCUGUGCAGAUGUUUUGUAGGCUCCUACCAGUGAAAGUCUCGUCACAACUCUCUUCUCUUCAAGAUUUUCUUUGCUGUUGA